This 72-nucleotide transfer RNA is filed under the name bacterium. Its description in RNAcentral is "tRNA-Gly". It matches the Rfam family "tRNA". From Rfam's summary of the family: Transfer RNA (tRNA) molecules are approximately 80 nucleotides in length. Their secondary structure includes four short double-helical elements and three loops (D, anti-codon, and T loops). The record is from RNAcentral.
GCGACAGUAACUCAAUGGUAGAGUGAAAGAUUUCCAAUCUUUAUGUUGAGGGUUCGAGUCCCUUCUGUCGCU